UAAGUAUUGUUUUUUUAGCUAUUGUUUUUGUUUUCUCAUGUCAUUUAAUGCUUUUAUUUUAUUGUUCUCUCUCCCCCUCCCCCCAUGUCCCCUCUCACAUUAUAUCUACGUAUUUUUCUCUAUCGAUCUGUUGCUCUCCCUGAGGUUUCUCCUCGUUUUUAUCACCUGUUAAAGGGUUUUUUGAGGAGUUUUUCCUGGUCCACUGUGACGGUCAAAGGACAGAAGGUGUUGUACUCUGCACAGUCUGGAAAAAAAGUUUCUUUCUUUCUUUCUUUCUUUCUUUCUUCCUUUCUUUCUUUCUUUCUUUCUGGUAGUGGGAUCCCUCUUCUGUGGGUCUCCCUGAGGUUUCUCCUCGUUUUUAUCACCCGUUAAAGGGUUUUUUGAGGAGUUUUUCCUGGUCCACUGUGAGGGUCAAAGGACAGAAGGUGUUGUACUCUGCACAGUCUGGAAAAAAAAGUUUCUUUCUUUCUUUCUUUCUUUCUUUCUCUCUUUCUUUGAGGUUUCUCCUCGUUUUUAUCACCCGUUAAAGGGUUUUUUGAGGAGUUUUUCCUGGUCCACUGUGACGGUCAAAGGACAGAAGGUGUUGUACUCUGCACAGUCUGGAAAAAAAAGUUUCUUUC
Molecule: long non-coding RNA, 620 nt
Organism: Centropristis striata (black sea bass)
Lineage: Eukaryota; Metazoa; Chordata; Actinopteri; Perciformes; Serranidae
Exons: 2
Source: RefSeq, a predicted model, not a curated record